Molecule: long non-coding RNA, 4003 nt
Filed under: Marmota monax (woodchuck)
Lineage: Eukaryota; Metazoa; Chordata; Mammalia; Rodentia; Sciuridae
Source: RNAcentral
ACACGCAAGUCCACUGGGCUUCUUUAAAAUAAUUAAAUUGAGUGUUUACUUGGUUAUUAUAAUCUUUGCAACCACUGAAAUGUUUAGAUGUUAAUCUGAUAUUAGAGUCAUCACCAGACCAAAAAUGGUCAUUUGAUAAUGUAAAUGUGAAAUCUGGUUUCAAUGAGAAUAUUUUUACUGUCAUGGUAUAAAUAUUUGAGUGACAUUUUAAGCCUAACUCUCAGGCCACAAAAUGUUUCUUCACAUUAAAAAAAAAAAAAAUGAGAAUGGACAAUUAUGAGUAUGCUCCCCAACCCUCACCCUCUGGGUUUUCCUCUUGUGUCAACUCUUUCCUAUCUGUAUCUGAUAACUAAGUACCAUGCUUGAUUUUUAAGGGAUAAAGAAACUCAAGCUGUACUUAAACCCAGAUCUUUGGAAUAUUACAUGAAGGGAGCAAAUCUUCAACUCCAUGACUACAUCACCAACAUUUACAAGGAUACACUUAGAGGGGGCAGAGUUCAUGUUCAGCUGUACUUCCUAAAUGAAUUAACUCAUCUUUCACAGAAAAAUCAGUCUGACUCUUUAGAAGGUUGUAGAGCACUUUAUUUUUAAUUGUAUUCACUGAUUUAAUCAUUUGAACUAUUAUUCCUGCAACAGAAAAGGUAAUUUACUCAAUGACGCUGAAGUGUUGUGAUGGGAUACAGCUUCCUUCACACUGCAUAGGAAGGAAAUCUCUACUAUCUGCACAGCCUACCCGUGGUCUUCUCCCACAUGAUGUCCUGGGUCGGUGGGCAUUGCCCAUCAGCAGGACUCUUCCCAUCACAGAGGCAUUGUGUGGUGGCCUGCUGACUUCCCCCAGUGACUCAGACGUUGGCUCAUUUACUUGUUUAUAUAUUUGAAAUUUUCAUGAUCAGCUUACUUGACCAGUAACCUUUCCAUAGCCUAUUCUAGAACUAAAAAGAGAUGAAAUAAAUGGAAAAAAAAUGCAUAGCCCCUAACAAUUCCCUUCUGACUUAAUUUCCUUUAUGAGCAUUUAAUGGCACCCAAUAAGGGAGAAAUCUAUCCAGAAAAAAAUAAAAAUAAAUUUAUAAUAAAACAAACAGAAGAUAACAUGCAAAAUCCAAUUUCUUCAAAUUCAUUAAAAUGCAAAUAAUUAUUUUUUGAGAUAAAGGAAUGGAAAAUAACUAAAGACAAAGACGAAAGUUCUCCCUGAGGAAGGAGUAGAGACAGCAGCUGACUCACCAUCUCUCUGAUCUAGACUUGCAAACCCAAGGCCAUGGCUGCUGGGAGCUCCGAGGAGCCACCGAAGGACCCCAGGCAAGGCAGAGGCCAGCAAAGCAUCACAUUGUCUACAGAGAAAAGCCACUCGUGCAGCUGAGCACUCUGGGAGAAGCUCUCCUCUCUCUUCUUCCUGACAUCUCUCCUUUCUUUUUUGGUUGCCAGGCUAGAACUUGCACCAUCUUGGUCAUUAGCACAUUAGCCCUUGUCUAACAACAGGCUGAUACAGAAAAUAAAGGCCCUGGUUCCCAGCCUUUGCUAUUGCCCUAGUGUAACUGUUCCAAACAUGGCCAAGUCAAAGUCCUCCCUGUGAUGUCCUGAACGGGGGCUGGGAAGGCAUGCAGUCACCCACCACAGAGCACUUCCACCACGUACACAGAAGACAUGUAAACAGCCUGAAGAGCAGGAGUAACUGCAAGAUAGCACAAAAGAGGUGAGUUAGUAAGAGGUGAGUUUUGAUAAUUGAUCACCUGUGUAUUUUUUGAGGAGGGUAGUUACUGGGGAUUGAACUCAGGGGCACUCAACCACUGAGCACAUUCCCAGCCCUAUUUUGUAUUUUAUUUAGAGACAGGAUCUCACUGAGUUGCUUAGUCCUCUCUUUUGCUGAGGCUGGAUCAAACCCAGUGCCUCAUGCUUGCUAGGGCUAGGCAAGCUCUCUACCACUGAGCCCCAGCCCCAGCCCCCAUGGGGUCUUAACAAUAAUUUGACUGACUAUAAAUAGUCUGGCUGAUUAUAAAUAGUUUGACUAUAAAUUACAAAGUUAUCUCCCCUUAUUACUUACUGUUUCUGCAUUUCUUUUUGCUUCUGGUAUCACUGCCCUGCUGAUGUCAAAGUAGCUUUUAUUCCUUCCACAGCAAAUCGGUUCAUAUCACUAUCUUUGGUGGUUUAAAAUGUGACCUUGACGUUUCUAGGUGUGUUUUUUGUUUGUUGGGUGGUUUUUUUUUUUUUUUCCUUUUCAUUUAUCUAUCUCAGUAUAACAAAAGCUUCUAUAAUUAGAACACAUUAUGUUUUACUAGUAUUAGAAAGUUUUUCUGUUCUUUGCAAAUUUAUGGAACUGACUUUAUGGACAAAGAAGGAUGUAAAUAUUCCAUAAAUAAUUGAGGCUGCAUAAUAUUUUUCAAUUGUUAUAUAUAAGCCACAAAAAUCAAACUGGGAAAUAGUUUAUUAAAAUCUCCUCUAUAUUUAUCCUUUCAUUUUAAUUGUUUCCUAUGUAUCCAUUUUAACCAAUUAUUUUCCUUCUGCUCUCUUCCUUCUUCUUUGAGUUGACUUUAAUCUCCCACUCUAUUUUUUCUUUUAUUAGUUGGAAUCUCUCCAUCUUUUACCACUCCUUUGGCCAUCCUCCUUGAUAUAUUAUGCUGAUUCUGCCUAACAACUAACCAAAGCAUAAAAUUAAACAAAUUUCAACUCUCUUCACCAAAUAAUGUAGAAACCAAGAAUGCUUUAAUUCUGACUUCCUUUCCACCUUUAUUCCCAGUUAUUCACUUAGUCUUGCCUUCUUUGCUUUAAUACCACCAACUACACAGACAUGUUGUUUAUACACCUUUGCUAUUAUUUCAACUCUGCAAUUAGUUUCAGGAGCAUCAUUUGUGUAACAACUUCGGGAUUCUAACUACUCACACCUGCCCCUAUAAUGGCUUCCUUUCUGCCCCUCCCCCUCCGUCCAUUAGAAGGGUUGGUGGUCUGGCAUCCUCUUAAGUCUUAAAGAUUUUACUUUUCUGUGAAUGACUACCUUCCCACUACUCUUGGAAGCUAAAUCUAUCACCCUUGGUGUUUAUUCCCUCUCAGAACUCUGAGAGCUCAUGGGGCUGAGUGUUUCACUGUUUGCUAACUCUACCUUGGGCUGCUUUCUACAGCUUCUCUGUACUUCUGGUGUUGGACCUUUCCCCUAUGGUGGUGUUGGUGGUCUGAACUGGUUUCUUUUUAUUCCUAGGCAUUUCAAACUCUUCUGGACUCUCAAGAUUGGUGACCUGCUUGAAUGAUGAGAAUCCUUAUAAAUCGUCCAUUAUGUCUUUCCUCCUCCAGAACCCAGAUCAGAUGUGUGGAUCUCGUUGCUCUCCACCCUGCCCCUUUAACCCGUGUCUUAUAUUUUCCUUCUCUUUCUCUCUCUGGGGUGUAUGCUGGCUAUUUAUUUCAGAUUUGUCUUGAAGCGGCUGAGUCUUUCUCCACCUGUGUCUACUCUUCUGUUUGAGAAUUCACUGAAUUCUUGAUUUCAAUAAUUCACUUUUCAUGUCUAGAUAACAUUCUUUUCAAUUCUGCUUGAUCAUUUUCAUAUAAAGAAUGUUUCUUUAUAUGAAGGAAACUUUAUGUAAAAGAAAUUCUUUAUUUCAUUAUUCCUAUCUUCUGUUUCUUUAGACGUAUAACACAUUUUGGCAUUCUAAACCCAUUUUCAAUAUCUCCAUCCAUUUUGAUCUCAUCCUGUAUUCUGUUAUUUCCUCCUGUGAAGUAGUUUGUUUCCUUACGCAUUUAAAAUUUUUGUUUCUAUUGUGAGCUGUGGUGGCCAGACACCAUAUAUUUUUUCCAAGACUUUAGAAAUACCAGUCAGAUAACAAGCAGCCCACGUGUCCAGGGUCUAUUAUCAUCACACAGACACCUGGACAAUGGCUGGAGAAUCCUUUUCAGCUCACAUAAAGUAUGUGAAGUUGGAAGAAGAUUUAUGCUGUUAAUAGCAAGUUGAUCCAAACAGUUAAAAUCUGAGGGAUUACAUAUAUUAAUUUAAACUUCUUGGCACUUCUUUAUUUUUAGAGAU